AAGCACCGGCUAACUCCGUGCCAGCAGCCGCGGUAAUACGGAGGGUGCAAGCGUUAAUCGGAAUUACUGGGCGUAAAGCGCACGCAGGCGGUUGAUUAAGUUAGAUGUGAAAUCCCCGGGCUUAACCUGGGAAUGGCAUCUAAGACUGGUCAGCUAGAGUCUNGUAGAGGGGGGUAGAAUUCCAUGUGUAGCGGUGAAAUGCGUAGAGAUGUGGAGGAAUACCGGUGGCGAAGGCGGCCCCCUGGACAAAGACUGACGCUCAGGUGCGAAAGCGUG
RNAcentral lists this ribosomal RNA (276 nucleotides) under Providencia sp. 02-TG11. RNAcentral describes it as "partial 16S ribosomal RNA". It matches the Rfam family "Bacterial small subunit ribosomal RNA", at positions 488 to 763 of the family's 1533-position model. Lineage: Bacteria; Pseudomonadati; Pseudomonadota; Gammaproteobacteria; Enterobacterales; Morganellaceae. The record is from RNAcentral.